RNAcentral lists this long non-coding RNA (798 nucleotides) under Medicago truncatula (barrel medic). RNAcentral's name for it is "lncRNA gene20058". The record is from RNAcentral. Lineage: Eukaryota; Viridiplantae; Streptophyta; Magnoliopsida; Fabales; Fabaceae.
GGCGAUUGUAAUGGAAAAUCAUUUAAAAAUUGAGUAGAAGUAUGAAAUUGUGAAGCAAUAAAAGGUAGUAACCUACUACUACGAAUCAACAACAUAACAUAGAUAAAUUCCGAAAAGGCAUAAUAAUUUACAAAGAUAGAACAAAUUGAAGUUGGCAGCAACCACAACCCAACUAAUAAUAAUAAUAAACAAAACAAACAAGAUAUGACAUGACAUCACAUGACAGAACAGGCGGUGGGAUUUUCGUCGCUGAAAGCGGUGGUGUAGCGAACUUCGGUGGAACUAGCACGCGCUAGAUGGGAUCCAGAAUACUGAUUGUUGUCGUAGUUGUUUCUGACAUAACCGGAGGGUGCUUUCUUGUCGUACGUACCUUGUGCAUAUGGGUGUGCAACGACGUCGUAUGGAACAUAUGGCCAUAUCUCAGCCCUCUUACCAGUGCGGUGAGCUAUACGCGCCACCACUUUGUUAGGUUCAACAUACCCCUGAACAGUGACCUUGUGUGCUUUCCUAUCAAUAUCAACUUGGUUCACACCUUUCAUUCCUUCCACCGACCUUCUCACUUUUCUCUCGCAUCCUUCGCAGUCCAUCUUCACUUUCACUUCCACCGUCUGUAUACAGUAUAUUAUUCAUUUCUAUUACUACUUUAAUAAUAAUAACAUAUGAAUGGAUCUAUUAUUACUUACCUGUAAUUGUUUGCGGUGUUUGUGCGAACUUCCACCGGAGCAGUCAAAUAGCUCAGAAAUGUGAUCCAUGGCACCCAUAUUAUUAUCUCUUUCUUACUCCAAGUGAAUGAGUGAG